UGGGGAAUAUUGCACAAUGGGCGAAAGCCUGAUGCAGCAACGCCGCGUGAGGGACGACGGCCUUCGGGUUGUAAACCUCUUUUAGCAAGGAAGAAGCGAAGGUGACGGUACUUGCAGAAAAAGCGCCGGCUAACUACGUGCCAGCAGCCGCGGUAAUACGUAGGGCGCAAGCGUUAUCCGGAAUUAUUGGGCGUAAAGAGCUCGUAGGCGGUUUGUCGCGUCUGCUGUGAAAACCCGAGGCUCAACCUCGGGCCUGCAGUGGGUACGGGCAGACUAGAGUGCGGUAGGGGAGAUUGGAACUCCUGGUGUAGCGGUGGAAUGCGCAGAUAUCAGGAAGAACACCGAUGGCGAAGGCAGAUCUCUGGGCCGUAACUGACGCUGAGGAGCGAAAGGGUGGGGAGCAAACAGGCUUAGAUACCCUGGUAGUCCACCCCGUAAACGUUGGGAACUAGUUGUGGGGUCCAUUCCACGGAUUCCGUGACGCAGCUAACGCAUUAAGUUCCCCGCCUGGGGAGUACGGCCGCAAGGCUAAAACU
This 536-nucleotide ribosomal RNA is filed under the name uncultured bacterium. RNAcentral's name for it is "partial 16S ribosomal RNA". It matches the Rfam family "Bacterial small subunit ribosomal RNA", at positions 355 to 901 of the family's 1533-position model. The record is from RNAcentral.